ACGGAAGGCAGCAGUGGGGAAUAUUGGACAAUGGGGGAAACCCUGAUCCAGCGACGCCGCGUGAGUGAAGAAGUAUCUCGGUAUGUAAACUUCUAUCAGCAGGGAAGAUAAUGACGGUACCUGACUAAGAAGCCCCGGCUAACUACGUGCCAGCAGCCGCGGUAAUACGUAGGGGGCAAGCGUUAUCCGGAUUUACUGGGUGUAAAGGGAGCGUAGACGGAGAAGCAAGUCUGAUGUGAAAGGCAUGGGCUCAACCUGUGGACUGCAUUGGAAACUGUUUUUCUUGAGUGCCGGAGGGGUAAGCGGAAUUCCUAGUGUAGCGGUGAAAUGCGUAGAUAUUAGGAGGAACACCAGUGGCGAAGGCGGCUUACUGGACGGUAACUGACGUUGAGGCUCGAAAGCGUGGGGAGCAAACAGGAUUAGAUACCCUGGUA
Molecule: ribosomal RNA, 434 nt
Filed under: uncultured Blautia sp.
Lineage: Bacteria; Bacillati; Bacillota; Clostridia; Lachnospirales; Lachnospiraceae
Description: bacterial SSU rRNA
Rfam family: Bacterial small subunit ribosomal RNA
Source: RNAcentral